Molecule: ribosomal RNA, 118 nt
Filed under: uncultured Vexilliferidae
Lineage: Eukaryota; Discosea; Flabellinia; Dactylopodida; Vexilliferidae
Description: partial Trypanosomatid mitochondrial large subunit ribosomal RNA
Source: RNAcentral
UAUGGAAGAAAAGAAGUCUGAGCAAACACUCAACAAACACUCAACGAGUGGAUCAAAACGUUUGAACAAUUCAUCGAAAAAAACCUCCACAUCUAUUGGUAGCGUCCGUAACAAAUCU